Molecule: long non-coding RNA, 237 nt
Filed under: Elaeis guineensis (African oil palm)
Lineage: Eukaryota; Viridiplantae; Streptophyta; Magnoliopsida; Arecales; Arecaceae
Description: long non-coding RNA (EGUI_LNC055092)
Source: RNAcentral
AUUGCUUUGGAUGCUGUAAAAGAAGACUUCUAGUUUAAGAAGUUCAUUGUGAAACUUGGGAUAAUGACAUCGGAUGCCAUACCACUUUAUUAUAAUAAAAAUGGAGCCAUAGCAUUUGCUAAGGAGCCGAGGUCUCAUCAAAAAUCAAAGCACAUCAAGCGGCAAUUCCAUAUGAUCGUGACUACCUUGAAAAAAAUAUGUCGAGGUGCAAAGAAUAGACUCCGCGGACAACAUGGC